GACGAACGCUGGCGGCGUGCCUAAUACAUGCAAGUAGAACGCUGAAGAGAGGAGCUUGCUCUUCUUGGAUGAGUUGCGAACGGGUGAGUAACGCGUAGGUAACCUGCCUUGUAGCGGGGGAUAACUAUUGGAAACGAUAGCUAAUACCGCAUAACAAUGGAUGACACAUGUCAUUUAUUUGAAAGGGGCAAUUGCUCCACUACAAGAUGGACCUGCGUUGUAUUAGCUAGUAGGUGAGGUAAUGGCUCACCUAGGCGACGAUACAUAGCCGGCCUGAGAGGGUGAUCGGCCACACUGGGACUGAGACACGGGCCAGACUCCUUCGGGAGGCAGCAGUAGGGAAUCUUCGGCAAUGGGGGCAACCCUGACCGAGCAACGCCGCGUGAGUGAAGAAGGUUUUCGGAUCGUAAAGCUCUGUUGUAAGUCAAGAACGGGUGUGAGAGUGGAAAGUUCACACUGUGACGGUAGCUUACCAGAAAGGGACGGCUAACUACGUG
RNAcentral lists this ribosomal RNA (497 nucleotides) under uncultured bacterium. RNAcentral describes it as "partial 16S ribosomal RNA". It matches the Rfam family "Bacterial small subunit ribosomal RNA", at positions 28 to 507 of the family's 1533-position model. The record is from RNAcentral.